Molecule: ribosomal RNA, 301 nt
Filed under: uncultured bacterium
Lineage: Bacteria
Description: partial 16S ribosomal RNA
Rfam family: Bacterial small subunit ribosomal RNA
Source: RNAcentral
CAGCCGCCAGGGAAUACGGAGGGUGCAAGCGUUAAUCGGAAUUACUGGGCGUAAAGCGCACGCAGGCGGUCUGACAAGUCAGAUGUGAAAUCCCCGGGCUUAACCUGGGAACUGCAUUUGAAACUGUCAGGCUGGAGUCUUGUAGAGGGGGGUGGAAUUCCAGGUGUAGCGGUGAAAUGCGUAGAGAUCUGGAGGAAUACCGGUGGCGAAGGCGGCCCCCUGGACAAAGACUGACGCUCAGGUGCGAAAGCGUGGGGAGCAAACAGGAUUAGAUACCCCUGUAGUCCCUGUCUCUUAUACA